This 254-nucleotide ribosomal RNA is filed under the name uncultured bacterium. RNAcentral's name for it is "partial 16S ribosomal RNA". It matches the Rfam family "Bacterial small subunit ribosomal RNA", at positions 524 to 777 of the family's 1533-position model. The record is from RNAcentral.
UACGUAGGGUGCAAGCGUUAAUCGGAAUUACUGGGCGUAAAGCGUGCGCAGGCGGUUUUGUAAGUCUGUCGUGAAAGCCCCGGGCUCAACCUGGGAAUUGCGAUGGAGACUGCAAGGCUUGAAUCUGGCAGAGGGGGGUAGAAUUCCACGUGUGGCAGUGAAAUGCGUAGAGAUGUGGAGGAACACCGAUGGCGAAGGCAGCCCCCUGGGUCAAGAUUGACGCUCAUGCACGAAAGCGUGGGGAGCAAACAGGG